Long non-coding RNA from Dermochelys coriacea (leatherback sea turtle), 897 nucleotides. RefSeq lists it as uncharacterized. The record is from RefSeq and is a predicted model, not a curated record. The transcript has 3 exons. NCBI's taxonomy places the organism in Eukaryota, Metazoa, Chordata, Testudines, Dermochelyidae.
GAGCAGGAAUCAAUGCCCGGCCAGCGGGGCCUCCCUACGCUCUUUCCGUAACGCCACUCCGGCGCGCGCCCCGACCUGCCUUAGACAGUUUAGGGAAUAGCGACCAGCUAUAUAGAAACAGCGCAACCCGUCCUACCGCAUCUGGUCUUCAGAGCCAAUAGUUGCUGGUAUCCAUGUUCCCUCAGUGAUAAGUGUACAUUGUGAGGAGGCAUCAGCAUUACAGGAGUUCAUAUAAGGUGGGGAUGGUCCUCCGAUUCAACCCGUUGUUCCCUGCUAUAACAAGUACCACACAGGCAGCUUUCAAACCAUGUUCUUCAGGAACCACCUCUGGGGACAACUGGAAUUCAGUCUCUAUGGCCCAUUCCAUCACUAAUGAUACUACCAGUUAGAGACAACUGAACAGUUAGUUUUACGAUUUUGACUCCUGCCUGCAAAAAUACAAAACAAAAACAAAACUACAACACACUUGCCCCUGCAAAGUCAUUUCACUUAAGGAGCCAAACUUCUAUUCAGUACAGAGCUGAGAUUGAUUCAAGCUACCAAAUGAGAGGUGAAACAGUCAGUUUAGAAGUGAAAGUUUGUCCCUUUUUCCCAACCCCCUGAGCCAUCUGGCUUUCCAUGUAUUUUUGUAUUGGGGGGGGGUGUAUAAAUGUGGGUUGGAUUGAUGAAGAAGUGUGGCUCAGGCCCAAGAAGAGAUAAAAUGUUAAUAAAAAUCUUGUUUACUUCUACAAACAUUACAAAGUUAAACAUUGUGUGACAUGUUAGCAAUAGCUUACCCCAUUGUAAGAACCACCAUUAGUAACUUUUUCUUAAACAUACAGAAAGAGGGUGGGGGUGGGGAAAGAGAUAAUGCAUGUGAAACUUAAAAAGUUAAAUAAAAACUCCAUUUUAACAAUU